RNAcentral lists this ribosomal RNA (485 nucleotides) under uncultured bacterium. RNAcentral describes it as "partial 16S ribosomal RNA". It matches the Rfam family "Bacterial small subunit ribosomal RNA", at positions 28 to 507 of the family's 1533-position model. The record is from RNAcentral.
GAUGAACGCUGGCGGCGUGCUUAACACAUGCAAGUCGAACGGGAUCCCAGGGGUGCUUGCACUUUUUGGUGAGAGUGGCGAACGGGUGAGUAACACGUGAGUAACCUGUCCUUUUCUUUGGGAUAAGCAUUCGAAAGGGUGUUUAAUACCUUAUGUUCUGUCUGCCUCGCAUGGGGUGGGUGGGAAAGGCUUUGGCCGGAUUUGGGUGGGCUCGCGGUCUAUCGGCUUGUUGGUGGGGUGAUGGCUGACUAAGGCUUUGACGGGUAGCCGGCCUGAGAGGGUGGGCGAGCACGUUGGGCCUGAGAGGCGGUGCGGAAUGCUGCGGACGGCAGCGGGGGGGAGUAUUGGAGAAUGGGGGAAAGCCUGAUGAAGCGAGGCCGCGUGGGGGAUGGAGGGGUUCGGGGUGUAAACUUCUUUUGCUCGGAACAAGGCAUGCCAGUGGGUGUGUUGAGUGUAGGGGUUGAUUAGCGCCGGCUAACUACGUG